GGCGGACGGGUGAGUAAUGUAUAGUUAAUCUGCCCUUUAGAGGGGGAUAACAGUUGGAAACGACUGCUAAUACCCCAUACUCCUUUUGCCUUAAUGGUAAUUGGGAAACGUUUUUUCGCUAAAGGAUGAGACUAUAUGGUAUCAGGUAGUUGGUGGGGUAAGAGCCUACCAAGCCAAUGACGCCUAGCUGGUCUGAGAGGAUGAUCAGCCACACUGGAACUGAGACACGGUCCAGACUCCUACGGGAGGCAGCAGUGGGGAAUAUUGCACAAUGGAGGAAACUCUGAUGCAGCAACGCCGCGUGGAGGAUGACGCAUUUCGGUGUGUAAACUCCUUUUAUAUGGGAAAGAUAAUGACGGUACCAUAUGAAUAAGCACCGGCUAACU
This 386-nucleotide ribosomal RNA is filed under the name uncultured Campylobacterota bacterium. RNAcentral describes it as "bacterial SSU rRNA". It matches the Rfam family "Bacterial small subunit ribosomal RNA", at positions 97 to 502 of the family's 1533-position model. The record is from RNAcentral. Lineage: Bacteria; Pseudomonadati; Campylobacterota.